CAUGAAACAACAACAACAACGUGUAACCGAUUCACCGCCACUCGGUAAUUUCCGUAAGAUCUGGCGGAAAUUGACGAAUUUUCAUGCAUUUUAUACCGUUGGUUGAUGCUCCAAGAAACCUAAAAGGAAAUUUUGCCUGACUGAAACAUCCCGCUGAAGACACCAGACACGACUCCCAUCCCCGUCAAGUUACACUGACACCGGUGUCUACCAGUCUGAGUGCUUUUCCUUCCUCUUAUACAAGAUAUCACUCUCACAACUACGCCACCGCGUCAGGCACAUUUUAUAGAUGGAGUCUAAUUAACAGCUGAUCACGUUGAAACAUCGACCACAGAGCUGACGAACAUGAAUUUUGCGGCUUUUGCACCCCAAAGGGUUCAUUGCAGCCUCGCAUCCUACUGAUACAUGUAUCUGUUGAUUGUAAACUGACUAAAACUGCGGAAUAUCUUAUACCGUAGUAAAUGUGAAG
Long non-coding RNA from Liolophura sinensis, 469 nucleotides. RefSeq lists it as uncharacterized. The record is from RefSeq and is a predicted model, not a curated record. The transcript is spliced from 3 exons. Lineage: Eukaryota; Metazoa; Mollusca; Polyplacophora; Chitonida; Chitonidae.